GAUGAACGCUAGCGGCAGGCUUAAUACAUGCAAGUCAAGGGGUAGCAAUACAACCGGCGCACGGGUGAGUAACGCGUACACAACAUACCAUAUACUGGAGUAUAGCUUCGGGAAACUGAAGGUAAUCCUCCAUAACAUUGCGAGAAGGCAUCUAAUUGCAAUUAAAGUUUCGACGGUAUAUGAUUGGUGUGCGUUUGAUUAGCUAGUUGGUAGGGUAACGGCCUACCAAGGCGACGAUCAAUAGCUGGCGUGAGAGCGCGACCAGCCACACUGGAACUGAGACACGGUCCAGACUCCUACGGGAGGCAGCAGUAGGGAAUAUUGGACAAUGGGCGAAAGCCUGAUCCAGCCAUGCGCGUGAUAGAUGAAGGACCGUCCU
This 379-nucleotide ribosomal RNA is filed under the name uncultured bacterium. RNAcentral describes it as "bacterial SSU rRNA". It matches the Rfam family "Bacterial small subunit ribosomal RNA", at positions 28 to 425 of the family's 1533-position model. The record is from RNAcentral.